ACGCUGGCGGCGUGCCUAACACAUGCAAGUCGAACGAGAAUCAAUGGAUUGAGACUUCGGUUGAUUGAAGUUGAGGAAAAGUGGCGAACGGGUGAGUAACGCGUGAGAAACCUGCCUUUCAGUGGGGGGACAACAGUUGGAAACGACUGCUAAUACCGCAUGAUGUAUUCGGGGGGCAUCCUCUGGAUACCAAAGCUUUAUGUGCUGAAAGAUGGUCUCGCGUCUGAUUAGCUAGUUGGUGGGGUAACGGCCCACCAAGGCGACGAUCAGUAGCCGGUCUGAGAGGAUGAACGGCCACAUUGGGACUGAGAUACGGCCCAGACUCCUACGGGAGGCAGCAGUGGGGAAUAUUGGGCAAUGGGGGAAACCCUGACCCAGCAACGCCGCGUGAAGGAAGAAGGCUUUCGGGUUGUAAACUUCUUUUACCAGGGACGAAGAACGUGACGGUACCUGGAGAAAAAGCAACGGCUAACUACGUG
This 479-nucleotide ribosomal RNA is filed under the name uncultured bacterium. RNAcentral's name for it is "bacterial SSU rRNA". It matches the Rfam family "Bacterial small subunit ribosomal RNA", at positions 33 to 507 of the family's 1533-position model. The record is from RNAcentral.